Molecule: long non-coding RNA, 184 nt
Filed under: Cyanistes caeruleus (blue tit)
Lineage: Eukaryota; Metazoa; Chordata; Aves; Passeriformes; Paridae
Description: lncRNA (ENSCCEG00000003050.1)
Source: RNAcentral
UUUGGUUUCUCUUUAAAGGAAAAUUUCAGAGGUCUGGCGGCUGCCACCAGAGGAAGGACAACCACUGGGUCUCAGCCUAGGCCAGGAAACAGAAAUUUAGAUCAACUUGAAUUGAAAUCAAUUCAUCCUUCCUGCCUGGAAGCGUUUUGCUGAGGAAAACUAUGAUGGUGGCAGAUCAGAGAUU